Molecule: ribosomal RNA, 492 nt
Filed under: uncultured bacterium
Lineage: Bacteria
Description: partial 16S ribosomal RNA
Rfam family: Bacterial small subunit ribosomal RNA
Source: RNAcentral
AGUGAACGCUGGCGGUAGGCCUAACACAUGCAAGUCGAAUGGCAGCACAGUAAGAGCUUGCUCUUACGGGUGGCGAGUGGCGGACGGGUGAGGAAUACAUCGGAAUCUACUUUUUCGUGGGGGAUAACGUAGGGAAACUUACGCUAAUACCGCAUACGAUCUACGGGUGAAAGCAGGGGAUCUUCGGACCUUGCGCGAUUGAAUGAGCCGAUGUGGGAUUGGCUAGUGGGCGGGGUAAAUGCCCACCAAGGCGACGAUCCGUAGCUGGUCUGAGAGGAUGGUCCGCCACACUGGAGCUGAGACACGGUCCAGACUCCUACGGGACGCAGCAGUGGGGAAUAGUGGACAAUGGGCGGGAGCCUUAUCCAACCAUAGCGAGUGGGUGAAGAAGGCGUUGGGUUUGUAAAGCCCUUUUGUUGGGAAAGAAAAGCAGCAGGUUAAUACCCCGCUGUUCUGACGGUACCCAAUGAAUAAGCACCGGCUAACUUCGUG